This 417-nucleotide ribosomal RNA is filed under the name uncultured bacterium. RNAcentral describes it as "bacterial SSU rRNA". It matches the Rfam family "Bacterial small subunit ribosomal RNA", at positions 356 to 773 of the family's 1533-position model. The record is from RNAcentral.
GGGGGAUAUUGCACAAGGGGCGCAAGCCUGAUGCAGCGACGCCGCGUGAGGGAUGACGGCUUUCGGGUUGUAAACCUCUUUUACUAUUGAACAAGGCGCCAUAUUGGUGGUGUUGAGGGUAGGUGGUGAAUAAGCGCCGGCUAACUACGUGCCAGCAGCCGCGGUAAUACGUAGGGCGCGAGCGUUGUCCGGAAUUAUUGGGCGUAAAGAGCUCGUAGGCGGCUUGUCGCGUCUGCUGUGAAAUCCUGGGGCUUAACCCUGGGCGUGCAGUGGGUACGGGCAGGCGAGAGUGCGGUAGGGGUGAUUGGAAUUCCUGGUGUAGCGGUGGAAUGCGCAGAUAUCAGGAGGAACACCGAUGGCGAAGGCAGGUCACUGGGCCGUUACUGACGCUGAGGAGCGAAAGCAUGGGGAGCGAAC